Molecule: ribosomal RNA, 565 nt
Filed under: uncultured Actinomycetes bacterium
Lineage: Bacteria; Bacillati; Actinomycetota; Actinomycetes
Description: bacterial SSU rRNA
Rfam family: Bacterial small subunit ribosomal RNA
Source: RNAcentral
CUCUGCGACGCAGCUAACGCAUUAAGUGCCCCGCCUGGGGAGUACGAUCGCAAGAUUAAGACUCAAAGGAAUUGACGGGGCCCCGCACAAGCAGCGGAGCAUGCGGCUUAAUUCGACGCAACGCGAAGAACCUUACCAAGGCUUGACAUAUACAGGAAUAUGGCAGAGAUGUCAUAGCCGCAAGGUCUGUAUACAGGUGGUGCAUGGUUGUCGUCAGCUCGUGUCGUGAGAUGUUGGGUUAAGUCCCGCAACGAGCGCAACCCUCGUUCUGUGUUGCCAGCAUUUAGUUGGGGACUCACAGGAGACUGCCGGGGUUAACUCGGAGGAAGGUGGGGAUGACGUCAAAUCAUCAUGCCCCUUAUGUCUUGGGCUGCACGCAUGCUACAAUGGCUGGUACAAACGGCUGCAAUACCGCAAGGUGGAGCGAAUCCGAGAAAGCCAGUCUCAGUUCGGAUUGGGGUCUGCAACUCGACCCCAUGAAGUCGGAGUUGCUAGUAAUCGUAGAUCAGCAACGCUACGGUGAAUACGUUCCCGGGGCUUGUACACACCGCCCGUCACGUCACGA